AUGUAGCGAGCUGAGUGGGGAGGAGAGAGGGACAGAGAGCCUGCUUGCUUUAAAGGAGCCAACCGGACAGGAGCUGCUUACACUCGUGUAAGCGGCUCCUCUCCCGCUUUGCUCCUUUAAAGAAGCAGGCUCUCUGUCCCUCUCUCCUCCCCACUCAGCGGCUCUUCUC
Molecule: microRNA precursor, 169 nt
Filed under: Podarcis lilfordi (Lilford's wall lizard)
Lineage: Eukaryota; Metazoa; Chordata; Lepidosauria; Squamata; Lacertidae
Source: RNAcentral